CGAGUCUAAUCCUCUCUAGUCCUUGCAACUACAUCUGAACGUCUUGGGGGCAGCGAGUCCCCAGGAGUCGGGUCCCGCGGCACUUGGCAGAGCUGACGGCCGCCGUGCCCGGUGGCCCACGUGGGCGCGCUUGGCGGAGCUGGGCGGGGAAGGCCGCGGGUCCUCCCCGGAGCAGGGCGCGGGGGAGGAGCGGGGAGCCCCGGCAGCGAGGGGGCGGCGACUGCGUUGGGAAGGAGGCUGCACGCGGAGCUGCGUGAAACGUAGACUUGGGAGCGGGCGGGAGAGGAGCGGGGAGCACGGCUGCACGGCCCUGGCCGGUCCUGCAAGGCGGCGAUCGCAGGGGGAGGAGCAGCAGCGCUGCAGAGGCGGAGGGAUCUGCGCACCAAAGCCAUCCAGGCCAGCAAAGUUUGGCUGGGGGUUGGACUUUCCUUCUCGGAGGCGGCACCCAAACAGCUACCCCGUGCGGAAACCCAAACUUUCUACUGGCACUCGGAGUCUCGCGGCCG
Molecule: long non-coding RNA, 506 nt
Filed under: Rattus norvegicus (Norway rat)
Lineage: Eukaryota; Metazoa; Chordata; Mammalia; Rodentia; Muridae
Description: long non-coding RNA NONRATT028681
Source: RNAcentral